This 406-nucleotide ribosomal RNA is filed under the name uncultured bacterium. RNAcentral's name for it is "partial 16S ribosomal RNA". It matches the Rfam family "Bacterial small subunit ribosomal RNA", at positions 29 to 526 of the family's 1533-position model. The record is from RNAcentral.
AUUGAACGCUGGCGGCAGGCCUAACACAUGCAAGUCGAACGAGUGGCGGACGGGUGAGUAAUGUCUGGGAAACUGCCUGAUGGGGGGGGAUAACUACUGGAAACGGUAGCUAAUACCGCAUACCAUCGGCAGUGCCCAGAUGGGAUUAGCUAGUAGGUGGGGUAAAGGCUCACCUAGGAGACGAUCCCUAGCGGGUCUGAGGGGAUGACCAGCCACACUGGAACUGAUACACGGUCCAGACUCCGACGGGAGGCAGCAGUGGGGAAUAUGGCACAAUGGGCGCAAGCCUGAGGCAGCCAUGCCGCGUGUAGGAAGAAGGCCUUCGGGUUUUAAAGUACUUUCAGCGGGGAGGCGUUACCCGCAGAAGAAGCACCGGCUAACUCCGUGCCAGCAGCCGCGGUAAUUC